RNAcentral lists this ribosomal RNA (753 nucleotides) under uncultured Achromobacter sp. Its description in RNAcentral is "bacterial SSU rRNA". It matches the Rfam family "Bacterial small subunit ribosomal RNA", at positions 28 to 776 of the family's 1533-position model. The record is from RNAcentral. Lineage: Bacteria; Pseudomonadati; Pseudomonadota; Betaproteobacteria; Burkholderiales; Alcaligenaceae.
AUUGAACGCUAGCGGGAUGCCUUACACAUGCAAGUCGAACGGCAGCACGGACUUCGGUCUGGUGGCGAGUGGCGAACGGGUGAGUAAUGUAUCGGAACGUGCCUAGUAGCGGGGGAUAACUACGCGAAAGCGUAGCUAAUACCGCAUACGCCCUACGGGGGAAAGCAGGGGAUCGCAAGACCUUGCACUAUUAGAGCGGCCGAUAUCGGAUUAGCUAGUUGGUGGGGUAACGGCUCACCAAGGCGACGAUCCGUAGCUGAUUUGAGAGGACGACCAGCCACACUGGGACUGAGACACGGCCCAGACUCCUACGGGAGGCAGCAGUGGGGAAUUUUGGACAAUGGGGGAAACCCUGAUCCAGCCAUCCCGCGUGUGCGAUGAAGGCCUUCGGGUUGUAAAGCACUUUUGGCAGGAAAGAAACGUCAUGGGUUAAUACCCCGUGAAACUGACGGUACCUGCAGAAUAAGCACCGGCUAACUACGUGCCAGCAGCCGCGGUAAUACGUAGGGUGCAAGCGUUAAUCGGAAUUACUGGGCGUAAAGCGUGCGCAGGCGGUUCGGAAAGAAAGAUGUGAAAUCCCAGAGCUUAACUUUGGAACUGCAUUUUUAACUACCGAGCUAGAGUGUGUCAGAGGGAGGUGGAAUUCCGCGUGUAGCAGUGAAAUGCGUAGAUAUGCGGAGGAACACCGAUGGCGAAGGCAGCCUCCUGGGAUAACACUGACGCUCAUGCACGAAAGCGUGGGGAGCAAACAGG